AAGCUAGGAGUGCAUCCAAAUUCCAUAACUAAGUGAUAAAUAUCACUCCAAACAUUUUGCUACGAGUAUUCAAGGGAUUGCCCAUUUCAUUGUAGAAUCUUAAGGUUAUCUUGGCUAGGGGAAUGUAGGACAAAGCUGCAGUGUGAAAUAUUUGUUUCAACACUUUGGAAGUGGAUACAGGGUGCUAACAAUUGUUUAAAUAUGUACCAAUCUUUAGGGCAUGAAGGACCAAUUUGUCACGGUAGAAGAAUUUACAAGAUGGCGGAUG
Molecule: long non-coding RNA, 268 nt
Filed under: Elaeis guineensis (African oil palm)
Lineage: Eukaryota; Viridiplantae; Streptophyta; Magnoliopsida; Arecales; Arecaceae
Description: long non-coding RNA (EGUI_LNC014133)
Source: RNAcentral